This 80-nucleotide ribosomal RNA is filed under the name Erythrolobus madagascarensis. Its description in RNAcentral is "partial 5.8S ribosomal RNA". The record is from RNAcentral. Lineage: Eukaryota; Rhodophyta; Bangiophyceae; Porphyridiales; Porphyridiaceae.
AUGGAUGAGAUGGAUCUUGGGAUGGAUGAUGAAGAACGCGAGAAAGAGCGGGAGAAACAGCGUGAAAAGCAAAGAGCCAU